RNAcentral lists this ribosomal RNA (253 nucleotides) under uncultured bacterium. RNAcentral describes it as "partial 16S ribosomal RNA". It matches the Rfam family "Bacterial small subunit ribosomal RNA", at positions 524 to 776 of the family's 1533-position model. The record is from RNAcentral.
UACAUGGGGUGCAAACGUUGCUCGGAAUUAUUGGGCGUAAAGCGCACGUAGGUGGUCUUUUAAGUCGGAUGUGAAAGCCCUCGGCUCAACCGAGGAGGUGCACCCGAAACUGAAAGGCUUGAGUACUGAAGAGGGUCGCGGAAUUCCCGGUGUAGAGGUGAAAUGCGUAGAUAUCGGGAGGAACACCGGUGGCGAAGGCGGCGACCUGGGCAGAUACUGACACUGAGGUGCGAAAGCGUGGGGAGCAAACAGG